UUGAAGCUUAUGAUAAAAGUUGGUACGGUAUGGGAUUUGAUGGUAUAACUAGGACUCAUAAGAUUGUUUGUAUUGUUAAAAGUCAAUCGUACAAUCUAAGGAGGUUUUUUUUCGCGGCUUAUGUUUAUACACUGGACAUAAGAUCAUCAUUGUGGAGAGAAAUACACUCAGUUCCCCAGUGUGAGUUUAGUAGCAAGACCAUAUCUGCAUAUGGAGACAUGCAUUGGUUGAUUUAUCGUGAUGUAGAUGGAGGAUUACCCAAUUGUAUUAUUUCUUUCAAUUUCAAGAAAGAUGAAUUUGUUUGGAUCCCUUAUCCUAAUUCAUCACAGGGUUUUGGUCAUGGUUUGAAUCAUUUGCUUAACGUGAGAGGGUGUUUGGCUAUUAUGUCAUCUAGAUUGCAGGGAAAGUGAAUUGCCAAACAACAUUUGGGAAGGAGAGUCAUAUCAUAUCUUUGAGAGUCUACGUAGCUAGAAAGUGAUGAAUUUGUGGCACUGUGGAUCAAGGUAACUCGAUGAUGACCUGACGCCUUUAGAUUUUAUGAUGUGCAGAACAAUACCCAGCAUGAUGUGCCUGUGGUGACUACACAGCAUGGAGUAUUUUUAUUACCUUCAACAAUCAGUCAUGAUGCCAAAAGUAAAAGCAGGAAUACCUCUUCAAUUCUUUGUUUAAGUUUGAUGUAUGAAGCUUUCCUUUGAAAAUGCCCUGAACAAACGGCAAGAUUUGCAAAUGGGUCUUCAUAUACUGUGUUCGUUUUGCUUACUGGAAUAGAAAUAAAAAUAGAGUUUUUCUCUUUUUCUUGGGCGGAAAGUAAAGAGAGUUGGAAUGGAAGUAGGGUUUAGCUAGGAAACAAACAAUUAAUCAAUAAAUAAUCAUGGAAACGGGAAUGACAAAUUUACGCUUUGAUUUUA
Molecule: non-coding RNA, 908 nt
Organism: Prunus avium (sweet cherry)
Lineage: Eukaryota; Viridiplantae; Streptophyta; Magnoliopsida; Rosales; Rosaceae
Source: RefSeq, a predicted model, not a curated record